This 373-nucleotide ribosomal RNA is filed under the name uncultured bacterium. RNAcentral describes it as "bacterial SSU rRNA". It matches the Rfam family "Bacterial small subunit ribosomal RNA", at positions 527 to 898 of the family's 1533-position model. The record is from RNAcentral.
GGAGGGCGCAAGCGUUGUUCGGAAUUACUGGGCGUAAAGCGCGGGCAGGCGGUCUGUUAAGUCGUUUGUGAAAAUCCGGGGCUCAACCCCGGAAAUGCAUACGAUACUGGCAGGCUGGAGACUGGUAGAGGCUAGCGGAAUUCCUGGUGUAGCGGUGGAAUGCGUAGAUAUCAGGAAGAACACCUGUGGCGAAGGCGGCUAGCUGGGCCAGUUCUGACGCUCAUCCGCGAAAGCGUGGGGAGCAAACAGGAUUAGAUACCCUGGUAGUCCACGCCGUAAACGAUGGGCACUAGGUGCCGGGUCUCUAGACGGAUUCGGUGCCGCAGUUAACGCACUAAGUGCCCCGCCUGGGGAGUACGGUCGCAAGGCUGAA